This 518-nucleotide ribosomal RNA is filed under the name uncultured bacterium. Its description in RNAcentral is "bacterial SSU rRNA". It matches the Rfam family "Bacterial small subunit ribosomal RNA", at positions 29 to 518 of the family's 1533-position model. The record is from RNAcentral.
ACGAACGCUGGCGGCGUGCCUAAUACAUGCAAGUCGAACGGCUUUUCUAUGGAAGCUUGCUUCCACUGAGAAGAUAGUGGCGAACGGGUGAGUAACACGUGGGUAACCUGCCCAUAAGAGGGGGGAUAACAUCCGGAAACGGGUGCUAAUACCGCAUAGUUUUCUUGAUCGCAUGAUUGAGAAAGGAAAGACGGCCUUUGUGCUGUCGCUUAUGGAUGGACCCGCGGCGUAUUAGUUAGUUGGUGAGGUAACGGCUCACCAAGACGAUGAUACGUAGCCGACCUGAGAGGGUGAUCGGCCACAUUGGGACUGAGACACGGCCCAAACUCCUACGGGAGGCAGCAGUAGGGAAUCUUCCGCAAUGGACGAAAGUCUGACGGAGCAACGCCGCGUGAGUGAAGAAGGUUUUUCCGGAUCGUAAAACUCUGUUGUCAGAGAAGAACAAGUUGGAGAGUAACUGCUCCAGCCUUGACGGUAUCUGACCAGAAAGCCACGGCUAACUACGUGCCAGCAGCCGC